RNAcentral lists this long non-coding RNA (798 nucleotides) under Marmota monax (woodchuck). The record is from RNAcentral. Lineage: Eukaryota; Metazoa; Chordata; Mammalia; Rodentia; Sciuridae.
AGAAACAUCAACUCACUUAGAAAAUAGUGUUCCCAUAAAUCAGACCUUUAUCCACCUCUUUAUCAUUAAGGAGACAUUAAAACAAUUAUAGAUAACAUAUAAGUACAUGAAAAUAAACACCAGAUUUUACUAUAUUGAAUUAGUACUUUAAAAUUUUACUGUGUAAGUUCUGAACAUGGUGGUACAUUACUUUAAUUCUAACAACUUAAGAGGCAGAGGCAGGAGGAUCCCAAGUUCAAAGUCAGCCUCCACAAAUUAAUGAGGCCCCACACAAUUUAGACCCUGUCUCAAGAUAAAAAGCACUGGGGAUGUGGUCCAGUGUUUAAGCACUCCUGAAUUCAAUCCCUUGUACUCCCCCGUCCAUUUUUUUUUCCCUAUAGAAUGACUUUACUCCUAAGGGCCUUGCAAUUUGAGAGAGCAACACAACUUCUCAAUUUCUCAACACAGGGAUUUUGACUACCUUCGAAACCAAGAGCCACCAGUGCAUAUUUUGUGAAAAGGAGGGUCAUUGCAGAGAGAUUCCCAAUAGUUACCCAGGAAGCAACAUGUUCAGCUGAACACUGACCCAUUCUGGCUCCUGGCAUGUCUGAUAGAAAACAACAAAAAACUGAAGAAUCCAAGCAUUUCCUUAUGAAGCCCCUAGAUAAUUACCCACUGAGGAGACUUGAGUCAUGUCAAAAAAUUUUUAAAAAUAUUUUUGCCCAAUAUCAAAUGCCUAUUUGGUUUUGGACAACCAGUAGAAAAUUUAACCAGAAACAAGUGUUCAAUUAUGAGGAUAAAAAAAGAGCUAUACUCAUG